RNAcentral lists this ribosomal RNA (399 nucleotides) under Leptodactylus longirostris group sp. ABGD cluster 24. RNAcentral's name for it is "partial large subunit ribosomal RNA". It matches the Rfam family "Bacterial large subunit ribosomal RNA", at positions 1835 to 2417 of the family's 2925-position model. Lineage: Eukaryota; Metazoa; Chordata; Amphibia; Anura; Leptodactylidae. The record is from RNAcentral.
CUUGACACCCAUAAGAGGUCCAGCCUGCCCAGUGACUCUGUUCAACGGCCGCGGUAUCCUAACCGUGCGAAGGUAGCGUAAUCACUUGUUCUUUAAAUGAGGACUAGUAUGAAUGGCACCACGAAGGUUAUACUGUCUCCUUUUUCUAAUCAGUGAAACUAAUCUUCCCGUGAAGAAGCGGGAAUAAAAAUAUAAGACGAGAAGACCCUAUGGAGCUUUAAACAAACAUACAACUGCCUUCUUUUUAGAUAUUUCAGAAGAAAACCUUUAUUUAGGCAUUUUGAUAUAGAGUUUUAGGUUGGGGUGACCACGGAGCAAAAAACAACCUCCGCAAUGAAAGGGGCUCUUCCCCUAAGCUAAGGGCUACAACCCUGAGAAUCAAAAAAUUGACACCAAUUG